UGGAGUGCAGUGGUGUGAUCUCUGCUCACUGCAACCUCUGCCUUCCAGGUUCAAGUGAUUCUCCUGUCUCAGCCUCCCAAGUAGCUGGGACUACAGGCACGUGCCACCAUGCCCAGCUGAUUUUUUGUAUUUUUUUAGUAGAGACAGGGUUUCACCAUGUUGGCCAAGAUGAUCUCUAUCUCCUGACCUCGUGAUCUGCCCGCCUUGACCUCCCAAAGUGCUGGGAUAAUAGGCAUGAGCCACCGCACCCGGCCGCCCCACUAAAUCUUUUAAAAACACUUUUGAGCCUUUAUCUUCUAAAUAGUAAACUAUGCAAUUUCAGAGAGAUUAUUCCAGCCCCAACGUUUUCAUAUUAUGAGUUGGUUUUUCCCAAUAGGAAAGACUUGUCUGUUCCAUUUUUCCUAAACCCAGUUCUCCAACACCAACCGGGUGUCCCACAAUUCAAUUAAAUUCUGAUACCACCUAGCAUUUAGUGCAGACUCCACAGGUUAAAUACUCAAUCCCACAAGACUGACCCCACUUCAGAUGCCAGCCGCAAAUGGGGUCCCCAGGCUAACUGCACUUCUGCCUAGGGACUACAAAUUGGGGGCUUUCCAUGACCCCCCUCAAUAAGUUUGGCAUUUUGCUAGAAUUAUCAGAGGCGUUUGAACCAGAAUAACUCCAUCUUGAAUAAUGGCUGGGUAAAAUGAGGCUGAGACCUACUGAGUUGCAUUCCAGGAGGUUAGGCAUUCUAAGUCACAGGAUGAGAUAGGAGAUCAGCAUAAGAUACAAGUCACAAAGACCUUGCUGAUAAAAGGGUGUGGUAAAGAAGCCAGUGAAAGUCCACCAAAAUCAAGACUCAAUGAAAGUGACCUCUGGUUAUCCUUACUGCUCAUUAUAUGCUAACUAUAAUACAUUGGCAUGCUAAGAAACACUCCCACCAGCACCAUGACAGUUUACAGAUGCCAUGGCAAUGUUGGGAAGUUACCUAUAUGGUCUAAAAAAAGUAGGAAGCCUCAGUUCUGAGAAUUGCUCACCCUCUUCCUGGAAAACUCACGAAUAAUCCACCCCUUGUUCGGCGUAUAAUCAAGAAGUAACCAUAAAAAUAGCCAACCAGCAGCCCCGAGGGCUGCUGUGGAAUAGCCUGUGGAAUAGCCAUUCUUUAUUCCUUUACUUUCCAAUAACCUUGAUUUCACUUUACUCUACGGAUUUGCCCGGAAGUCUUCCUUGCACGAGGUCCAAGAACCCUCUUCUGGGGUCAAGAUCGGGACUCUUUUGGGCAACAAUGACUCACAGAAUUCAGAAAAUCCCUACACUUAUGAUUACAGUUUUAUUAUGAAGCAUACAACUCAGAUACAGCCAAAUGGUAGAGAUUCAUAGGGCAAGGUAUGGUUGGGGAGCAGGCACGAAAACAGAACUUCCAAGCCCCCUCCAGGCACACCAUCCUCCCAACACAUCCAUAUGUCACCAACCCAGAAGCUCCUAGCCUCCUUGCUGCAGUUUUAACCAAGUUUUUAUCACACAGGUUUGACUGAUAAAAUCACUGGCUGUUGUUGAGUGAACCCAAUCUCCAGCCCCUUUCCCUUCCCAGAGAUCAGGGAUUGCAGCUAAAAGUUCUAACCCUGUAAUCACAUGGUUGGUUCCUCCGGCAACUAGUCCCCAUCCCGUAGCUACCUGGGGGCCCACCAAGAGUCCAAGGAUCACAUUAGCACAAACUCAGAAGGAGGAUGGAAAGAACUGAGGAAGCAGUAAAAGCAUUCAGGCCGUACGAGCAUAUAGAAAAAACUUGCAAAGAAAAAUGAAGAAACGCCUGCUCAUUAGCCAUCUGCCACUUCACCAAUGCCAGGAAAUUCCGGGCAGCUGUUUUUUAUAAAGUGGAUAAUUCACAUAAUUGUGUUGGGGACUUCCAGCUAUGAAGAACUGUUAGAACAUUUGAAAAUUAGUGUUCCCAAGUUGUACUGUGAUACAAAAGCCCAGUGAAUUCUUCAAACUUCCACCUCUUACAGGAAUCUGAGAAAACCAGAUAAUGUUUACAUCUACGCAUGGGGAAGGAAGGCUUGGCAGAUUAUUGGUAUCGAAAGGAAUUCUUUUUAGUUAGUUUUUAACCCUACCUGUCUUGUGAAUGUGCUAUGUACAGGCUCUUUGUAAGUCUUCAACCAUGCAGCAAAAUCCAUCUAGCCACUCAAAGAUUGGUAAUAGCAUAAUUGUCUAAUGUGUGUCUUUUCAGGAAAUUGAAAUUGAUAUGUUGUAUCUCCCUCAUGCCAAAAUUUUAUAAAAAUCAUUUCUAAGCCUAAUGACAUGUAAACUGAAUUACCCCCUCCAAAUAUUUACUCUAAAAGCAAGUGGACAAUUUCUGUAGAAUUCCUAAGAUAAUCAUCUCCUGCUAAAAACAAAAUCUACAUUCAAUUUAUAAGAUGCCUUUGUAUUCUCUUUAAGAAGAUGAACCUAUAGUGAAAAAGCUCAAAAACAAAUUAAAUAUAAAACUUUCCUUCUACUAGUGGUGCUGGGCACCGAAUACCUGCAAUUUCACAUAAUGCAAAGCACAUUUGAGAACAAUGAACACACACCUCACGUUGACUUCCCCUCCUCUGACUUGAGCAAGAAAUUCCCCUUCUCUUCAUCUUGGUUAUUCCCUGUAAGUCUCAGUUUCCACAUCUCCACAGAACAGAGAAUAACAUGCAACCUGCUCCACACAGUGGUUGCAAGAAUUAAAUUUGAUCAGGCAAUCAAAUAUUUUGUACACAUUUCAUAUGCUCAGCUGCCUCAAGAAGCUCUAGUUAGACAAAACAAACAUGGUGGAAACAAUUGCAUGUAACUGAGGGCUAAAUAACAUGGAAAAGAUGCAACAUGUAUCCAUAGACUUGUGGACAGUGUAUUCACAGGAGGCAAUAAAGGCAGUGAGAAUACCUAGGAAAUGUUUCCUGGAAAUGCUAUCCUUGAUCUCAGCUUGAAGGAUGGUCAGAGGACAGGAUACAUACAGCCCCAAGAAGAGGAGAGGGGAUUCCAUCUACUCUUAUCUCUUUCACUCCCCUGCUCACAGUUGAUACUUAGCCAGCAUCACCUGGAAACAUGAGAGUUGAAAAGCAAAUCUCCAGACCCAUCCCAGUCCUAUGGACUCAGCACUCUCAGGUGGGGCUCAGAGAUCUGUUUUAACCAGCCUUCCAGCUGGACUUCUGAACACUCAAGUUUGGGAACCACUGCUGUUGCUUUGCUUGAUCUUACCUCCUCUCUUCGGUGACCACAAGUUCUUUCCACCUGACCAACUCCUGCAGUUUUUGCAGCUGUAAAUUUCACUUUCAUUUCCUCCAGAGAGCAUGCCCAACCUGCACUGGAGUCUAGUUUGUCCAUGCAUGUCCCAACCCCAGCCCUAGGUUAGGUAUUUUGGCCCUGUGUCAUACUUUCCUUGACAAGGUACUCAGGGCAUGUCAUUUUGCUUGUUUAAUUGCCUUCCUGAUAACCUACUAGCUCCAUAAAGGCAGGUACUGAGUCUAUUUUGUUCACAUCACUUCAUUCUCAGAGCCUUGCACACUGUAAGGUACUUUGUUAAUACCUGUUGGAUAAAUAAGUAAAUCAAAGAAGCCACGAAACAAUUGGUUUUGAAUAGUAUAAAGUACUAUAAAAUCAGGAAUAUGAUACAUAUACAAUUAACAGAUGCAUUUGAAGUACCGGUUGUAGAAACACAGCUGAGUUUAGUUUGUCUUUGAGAAGAGUUUCAUGAAGAGAUUUGGGUUUCGAAAAUCUCUGCACUGAAAAUGCUACCAAUGUCACACCAUAUCACCUGAUAAGGUAGUAUUGAUUGUUUGUUAUUAUCAUUCUUGGCAGUAUUGCUUGUUUGUCAUUAUCAUUCAUUUUUCCUCCAUGACCAGAUUUUUCUGCCUUUGGAGCAAUUUGGCCCACAGAGGCUGGCAGACAAAACAGCCUCUCACCAGUGCAAGAGAAGGGCUGUGGGGAGGCUUACAUCUAAGAUUUGUGGGUGAAUAUUGGAAACAGUAACUCUUCACUUUAUUAUAAAGAAAAAGCUUUGGACCAAGAGUCCUAACACCUGAAUUCUAACUCUGGCUUCCUUCCUUCCCUCAUUUAAAUAUUUAAAUAUUUACUCUAUUCCGGGCCCUGUGCUUGGAUCUGAGCCUACAAUGGCGAACAAGACAUACACGUAGUCCCUCCCUCACCAAACCUAAAGGUCUGCUCAUCUGCUAUGGGCUACAGCCACUCCUGACUCCUACAGGACACCGAAC
RNAcentral lists this long non-coding RNA (4214 nucleotides) under Homo sapiens (human). RNAcentral describes it as "HSALNT0071198". The record is from RNAcentral. Lineage: Eukaryota; Metazoa; Chordata; Mammalia; Primates; Hominidae.